UACGAAGGGUGCAAGCGUUACUCGGAAUUACUGGGCGUAAAGCGUGCGUAGGUGGUUUGUUAAGUCUGUUGUGAAAGCCCCGGGCUCAACCUGGGAAUGGCAAUGGAUACUGGCAAGCUAGAGUGCGGUAGAGGGUAGUGGAAUUCCCGGUGUAGCGGUGAAAUGCGUAGAUAUCAGGAGGAAUACCGAUGGCGAAGGCAGGUCUCUGGGCUGACACUGACGCUCAUGCACGAA
Molecule: ribosomal RNA, 234 nt
Filed under: uncultured bacterium
Lineage: Bacteria
Description: partial 16S ribosomal RNA
Rfam family: Bacterial small subunit ribosomal RNA
Source: RNAcentral